This 385-nucleotide ribosomal RNA is filed under the name uncultured bacterium. RNAcentral's name for it is "bacterial SSU rRNA". It matches the Rfam family "Bacterial small subunit ribosomal RNA", at positions 30 to 414 of the family's 1533-position model. The record is from RNAcentral.
AUUGAACGCUGGCGGCAUGCCUUACACAUGCAAGUCGAACGGCAGCACGGGAGCAAUCCUGGUGGCGAGUGGCGAACGGGUGAGUAAUAUAUCGGAACGUGCCCAGUCGUGGGGGAUAACGUAGCGAAAGCUACGCUAAUACCGCAUACGAUCUAUGGAUGAAAGCGGGGGAUCGCAAGACCUCGCGCGAUUGGAGCGGCCGAUAUCAGAUUAGGUAGUUGGUGAGGUAAAGGCUCACCAAGCCGACGAUCUGUAGCUGGUCUGAGAGGACGACCAGCCACACUGGGACUGAGACACGGCCCAGACUCCUACGGGAGGCAGCAGUGGGGAAUUUUGGGACAAUGGGCGCAAGCCUGAUCCAGCAAUGCCGCGUGCAGGAUAAAGG